Long non-coding RNA from Bubalus bubalis (water buffalo), 1539 nucleotides. RefSeq lists it as uncharacterized. Lineage: Eukaryota; Metazoa; Chordata; Mammalia; Artiodactyla; Bovidae. The record is from RefSeq and is a predicted model, not a curated record. The transcript has 2 exons.
CUAACAGAAAAGGACUAACAGAAACUCUUCAGAGGUUAUUGUAUCUGUUCCUGUGGCCUUAGUCCGGAGAAGGCAAUGGCACCCCACUCCAGUACUCUUGCCUGGAGAAUCGAAUGGAUGAAGGAGCCUGGAUGCGUGAGCAGGAGGAAUAACUCGGUCACGAGGAAACCCCUUAGAGGAGGACAGCCCCCUUGUUCUUACAGGAUGAGCCAGCCAGGACCACUCGGCCGGAAGCAGUUUCGAUGGCACCCACACGUGCCCCUGAGGGGGGAGGGCGAUGAGGAGGUGCUUCAGGGACCUCAGGUUGGAAGACACGGGUGCACCCCGUGCACUCACGGGCUGACGCUCUCCUUUCAGCACAAGACUGGGCGCUGAUGACGGGCAGCGUGGGCGUGCUCGCUCUCCCGUGGGUCCGGUCUGGAAUCUGAUUCAUCUUCAACGACCGUGUCCUUCUAACGCCUUCUCUCUUCAUUUUCCCUUGUUUGGCACAUCUGAUUUGUGCUUUUCCCAGUUCCUUUUCCAGAGAGUCUAUCUCGCUCUGGAGCGCGGAGCUGGGUAUGCUCUGCUUUUCAUAUGGCCACUUGGUACAUCAGAUGACUGUGACUCAAGGCUGGCGUUUUUAAAGACGAGUCUAGAUAUUUACGCGCUUAAAAGAACACUAAGUUCGUUCGUUUGUACCCUCAAUGAACGCAGCAAGUGCAUGGCAAGCUUGUCGCCGCCCCCGCCCCCCCCCCCCCCCCCUUGUUUUGUCCAACUAGAAACUUCUGAUCAAAAUCAAGAGAACCGAAGACUUCCGGCUGCCCCUGCACAGCGCCCCCUGGUGGCCGCUCGGAGCACAGGCUCUGCUCUCAGGCCUUCAGGCCGCCCUGCCGGGCGGGCCAACGCCCUCAGAGCCCGCCUCCCACCCUCCUCCUGCUCUUUGCUGACGGUCUUCUCCCCGCCCUCCGUGGUCACGGCUGCAUCGGCCACGGAGCGUUCCAGCUGCGCCCCCAGCAUCACGGAGCUCACCGGAGGGCCUGGUGAGGACGUGACGGCCGGCUGGCCACUGAGCUGGACCCGGGCAGUGGGAGGAUUUUCACUCCCUUCCUCCGUCCUUAGAAGGUCUGUCUGUCCAUUGUUCUUGUAUGAGAAGGCUCUUCAAGGGCUUUUCAAAUCAACUGUGAAAUUAUAAUCAAUUCAGCUUGUCAAGUAUUUUGAGUUGUGUUCAUCUGUUGGAUCACUUGACAUUACUUCAUUUGCCUUUUUUUUUUUUUUCCCGUGACAUAUAACCCACAGAUCAUGAGAAUAAUUGUAACAGUUAUACAGCAUGCACCCAAGUGAUGCAGGUCAAGAGGUUGAACUGGCCGUGCUCAGGAAGCUGCCUCUACAGCACGUGACCCCCCAGGCCCAGCCCUGCCUCUCCUGUCCCCGAAGGGAACAGCUCCUGUGAUUUGGGCAGAGCGUCUUUGCUUGUCUCUAUUGUUUUACCCCUUCCAGCUUAUUCCAGCUUUCUUUAGGCUGAUUCUGAGAUUUAUGUAAAUAAAAUAAUGUUGAAAUGUA